GAUGAACGCUGGCGGCGUGCUUAACACAUGCAAGUCGAACGAUGAAGCUCAGCUUGCUGGGUGGAUUAGUGGCGAACGGGUGAGUAACACGUGAGUAACCUGCCCUUAACUCUGGGAUAAGCCUGGGAAACUAGGUCUAAUACCGGAUAGGAGCGCCUACCGCAUGGUGGGUGUUGGAAAAAUUUAUCGGUUUUGGAUGGAUUCGCGGCCUAUCAGCUUGUUGGUGAGGUAAUGGCUCACCAAGGCGACGACGGGUAGCCGGCCUGAGAGGGUGACCGGCCACACUGGGACUGAGACACGGCCCAGACUCCUACGGGAGGCAGCAGUGGGGAAGAUUGCACAAUGGGCGAAAGCCUGAUGCAGCGACGCCGCGUGAGGGAUGACGGCCUUCGGGUUGUAAACCUCUUUUAGUAGGGAAGAAGCGAGAGUGACGGUACCUGCAGAAGAAGCACCGGCUAACUACGUG
RNAcentral lists this ribosomal RNA (466 nucleotides) under uncultured bacterium. RNAcentral's name for it is "partial 16S ribosomal RNA". It matches the Rfam family "Bacterial small subunit ribosomal RNA", at positions 28 to 507 of the family's 1533-position model. The record is from RNAcentral.